GGAUGUUGGCUUAGAAGCAGCCAUCAUUUAAAGAAAGCGUAAUAGCUCACUGGUCGAGUCGGCCUGCGCGGAAGAUGUAACGGGGCUAAACCAUGCACCGAAGCUGCGGCAGCGACGUUUAUGCGUUGUUGGGUAGGGGAGCGUUCUGUAAGCCUGCGAAGGUGGCCUGUGAGGGUUGCUGGAGGUAUCAGAAGUGCGAAUGCUGACAUAAGUAACGAUAAAGCGGGUGAAAAGCCCGCUCGCCGGAAGACCAAGGGUUCCUGUCCAACGUUAAUCGGGGCAGGGUGAGUCGACCCCUAAGGCGAGGCCGAAAGGCGUAGUCGAUGGGAAACGGGUUAAUAUUCCCGUACUUGGUGUUACUGCGAAGGGGGGACGGAGAAGGCUAUGUUGGCCGGGCGACGGUUGUCCCGGUUUAAGCGUGUAGGCUGGUUUUCCAGGCAAAUCCGGAAAAUCAAGGCUGAGGCGUGACGACGAGGCACUACGGUGCUGAAGCAACAAAUGCCCUGCUUCCAGGAAAAGCCUCUAAGCAUCAGGUAACAUCAAAUCGUACCCCAAACCGACACAGGUGGUCAGGUAGAGAAUACCAAGGCGCUUGAGAGAACUCGGGUGAAGGAACUAGGCAAAAUGGUGCCGUAACUUCGGGAGAAGGCACGCUGACAC
RNAcentral lists this ribosomal RNA (660 nucleotides) under Salmonella enterica subsp. enterica serovar Bareilly. RNAcentral's name for it is "partial 23S ribosomal RNA". It matches the Rfam family "Bacterial large subunit ribosomal RNA", at positions 1096 to 1757 of the family's 2925-position model. Lineage: Bacteria; Pseudomonadati; Pseudomonadota; Gammaproteobacteria; Enterobacterales; Enterobacteriaceae. The record is from RNAcentral.